GACCAGGUCCAGGAGCAUACGGUCUGCGUUCCUCUUGUUUACAGGUCAGCCUCCUGGAGUACACACCAGGGGGCAUGUGGCGGAGCAGGCCAUGGUGUUGAGCACACUAAAGCCACUAAGCUCUGAGUCUGACAUAAUGUUUAACAUCAGACCACAUCUCUGAGCCCAGCUUUCCAUUGUGGUGGGGGUGUGGGGCGCGAAGUAAGAAAUGACAGAACUAUUUUCCUUGAGAGGAAACGCCACUUGCAAAACGGUGGAGUUCAAGAUGCUUCACCUUGGACUGCCUCAUCAUAGAAGAUUACAGGCAGGGAAGAGUAUCCACUCUCCCACAUCACUACAGGUGCUGGUCAACAUUCAAGAACAUUCUGAUUUGAAGACUCAGAUUUACUUAUAAAAUGCACUGCAAGAAUGACAUCAUUGUGCAUUUUUCAAGUGAGUAUUUUCCAGCGGUUGGAUUUAUGCCAAAUAC
RNAcentral lists this long non-coding RNA (469 nucleotides) under Rhinopithecus bieti (black snub-nosed monkey). RNAcentral describes it as "lncRNA (ENSRBIG00000045413.1)". The record is from RNAcentral. Lineage: Eukaryota; Metazoa; Chordata; Mammalia; Primates; Cercopithecidae.